GGUGCUUUUGCUUAAUUGGGAAGACCGGUGAAAAGCCGGCGCGGUCCCGCCACUGUAAUGGUGAGCGCUCUUAUCAAUGCCACUGGAGAAAUUCGGGAAGGCUAAGUAGCGCGAUGAGCCAGAGUCAGGAGACCUGCCUGUUCUG
RNAcentral lists this non-coding RNA (145 nucleotides) under human gut metagenome. The record is from RNAcentral.